Molecule: ribosomal RNA, 794 nt
Filed under: Clostridioides difficile
Lineage: Bacteria; Bacillati; Bacillota; Clostridia; Peptostreptococcales; Peptostreptococcaceae
Description: partial 23S ribosomal RNA
Rfam family: Bacterial large subunit ribosomal RNA
Source: RNAcentral
CAAGGUUUCCAGGGGAAGGUUCGUCCGCCCUGGGUUAGUCGGGACCUAAGCUGAGGCCGAAAGGCGUAGGUGAUGGACAACAGGUUGAUAUUCCUGUACUACCGAUAACCGUUUGAGAGAAGGGAUGACACAGUAGGAUAAGCUAAGCACACUGUUGGUUAUGUGUGCCCAAGCAUUGAGGCAGUCAAAGUAGGCAAAUCCGCUUUGAUAAUGCUGGGAUGUGAUGGGGAGCGAAAUUUAGUAGCGAAGUAGCUGAUUUCACACUGUCAAGAAAAGUCUCUAUCGAGGUUAAAGGUACCCGUACCGCAAACCGACACAGGUGGGUGAGGAGAGUAUCCUAAGGCCAGCGAGAGAACUGUUGUUAAGGAACUCGGCAAAAUGACCCCGUAACUUAGGGAUAAGGGGUGCCACCAUCAGGUGGCCGCAGAGAAUAGGCCCAAGCGACUGUUUACCAAAAACAUAGGUUUCUGCUAAGUCGCAAGACGAUGUAUAGGAGCUGACGCCUGCCCGGUGCUGGAAGGUUAAGGGGAUCUGUUAGAGCAAUCGAAGCAGUGAACUUAAGCCCCAGUAAACGGCGGCCGUAACUAUAACGGUCCUAAGGUAGCGAAAUUCCUUGUCGGGUAAGUUCCGACCCGCACGAAAGGCGUAACGAUUUGGGCACUGUCUCAACAACAGACUCGGUGAAAUUGUAAUUCCGGUGAAGAUGCCGGAUACCUGCGACAGGACGGAAAGACCCCAUGGAGCUUUACUGUAGCUUGACAUUGGGUCUUGGUACUACAUGUACAGGAUAGGUG